Molecule: long non-coding RNA, 538 nt
Filed under: Homo sapiens (human)
Lineage: Eukaryota; Metazoa; Chordata; Mammalia; Primates; Hominidae
Description: HSALNT0386993
Source: RNAcentral
UUGGCCACCACAAAAAUGUUCUUUAUGGAGUUCAGAGGCAGAAACUAUACAUCCAGGAGUGAAUUGACAAUGAUCUCAUAUGACAGAUGGACUUAGAGAAGAAUUAAAGACACGCUGGGGCUGAGCCAAGAGAGAACUUCCCCUUGAUGUAAUCAGCAAAUAAGAAAGUCAAAUGAUUCUACCUUUACAACAAAGACUCUGAGGCUCAAAGAGAUUAAGAUGCCUACAGUUGCAGAGAAAGAGCCCCCUGGGAUCUGAAGAGGAAGAGGCUCUAUAGUCAGAGCCAGGCUUACUCCGUCAGACGUUCUGAAAUCUUCAGUCCCUGCAGCCUUCAGAAUGAUUCUGCCUCCCCCAUCCCUCUAAACGCCCUUCAUCCUGUGCAACAUGAAAUAUCCAACUGGAGCAUUUCAGGAUGGAAAUGAUAUGUCUCAAAGACAUGUAUAUCUUACAUAGACAUACAAACACACACAGCCAUACUCUCUAAGACUACAUAUGUUUGGAGGGAAAGAGUUUAAUAGGGUUUCUUAAUGGACCUUGA